Molecule: long non-coding RNA, 1377 nt
Organism: Mustela lutreola (European mink)
Lineage: Eukaryota; Metazoa; Chordata; Mammalia; Carnivora; Mustelidae
Exons: 4
Source: RefSeq, a predicted model, not a curated record
CACGGCCGUGGCCCCAAAGCAGUGGCAACCCUGGGCUAGUGCAGUUGGGUUACCUGCUCAAGGAGCCGAGUGUUAUGCAACCUGGACUGGAUCCUGGAGGAAGAACCAAAUGGCCCUCAGAGACCUUGGAGGAUGGGAGGUUUACUUAACACCGCACAGGCCCGCCCUGGGGUCCUAUUUUUCUCUGCUGGCUGAAUCUGCUUACACAUCUGGCACACCCACGGGUUGUAAGAGCCAAGCCCAGAGGGAAACACACCCUCGGCCUCUGACUACAACUGUCAUUAAGGAUUCUGCCGUAUAACCCAGUGCAACCUCUCUUCCCACCCCAAAAUGCAGACUCAACCAACGUAGAAGCAUGGGAAAAACCCAAGAAGUAUGAUGGAUCUAAGGGAAGAUAUGUUGACUACUUCAUGAAAAAGAUGCCUUUUGACGAAAUUCGUUUUACUUACUUCAGAUGUAUCACCAGCCAGAUCCCCGGAAAAUAAGUCAAUGGGAGAGUCAGAUGCUUUGGGGUUGAUCAGGAGGGCAUCGAAUUCCUUCCCCACUUCAAAGUUUCCAAUCUCUUUAUCCAGCCCCAGGGCUACAGAGUGGAAUAAAUUAGUAAACAGUCAGUAUUUGGAGCCCUCAGAUGGUGAAAAUGUCCCCAUCUGUCCUUGCAAACUAUCACUAGAAAAAAGCUAUCUUAAUGGGAAGCAGAGAAGCUCUCAUUCUAAGAAAUCCUGAAACAUUGACACACAGGAAGCAGAAGAAGCAUGUGGAAAGCAAAAUCUGAGAAUAAAAACAGGUCCCCUCAUCACCACGAUCUCUAAUUCAGAUGGUGUCUGUCUGUUUCGGCUCUAUUAGUGCCCUUCACAGUCCAGCUGGCCUAUGAUUUCCAUUCAUCCCUCUAAGAAACAUGACGAUUGACAUAAUGUCUUCUUCUCCCCUCCUGUUCUCCCCCCACACACUCCAACUCUUGCCCUUUUUGUUCUGUGAAACAGCUGACGGGAUCUAUUUUCAUGGCAGUGAAAUGAACCUCAAAUAAGUAUCCUUUUGCAUCUUCGUCAACGCAGGCCUGUCCAUCCUAAGUUCCUUAGGUUAAAUCCACUGAAUGGGGAAAAUUGACUUCUGAAAGUAAGUAUGUCCUCCUAACUCAAGAGUGCCAGUGCUUUAGAAAGCAGACCAAUUUCUCAGUAACCUCAAGGACUUUCUGCUUGCCAGGGAAGAAUGGUUUUCUAAAAUAGGUCAGUACUGUCUAUUGACUUGAUCCAUCUUGUAACGAGAAUUCAUGUUCCAUGAAUAUCGGAUGUCAAGGAGGAACAUCUGUCAUAUUUAUGAUUUAGUUUCAGAAGAUGGGAGUAGUUGGCUUUCCGAGUCAAUAAAGAUAUUAACUCUAAA